RNAcentral lists this long non-coding RNA (223 nucleotides) under Trifolium pratense (red clover). RNAcentral describes it as "long non-coding RNA (TPRA_LNC013488)". Lineage: Eukaryota; Viridiplantae; Streptophyta; Magnoliopsida; Fabales; Fabaceae. The record is from RNAcentral.
AAAAUAGAAAAAAUAAGGGUGAUGUUAACUUGUGCCCUAAGGGGAAUGAUUUGUUAGUGAUUAGUUUUUACAAUUGUAGAAACAUUUAUGCACACCCCUAGUUGCCAUCAUAAGAUUGUAUUUGGCUGAUUGGUAAAGCAGCGCAUUUGGUGAUUAUAGUGUCCCGAGUUCGAUUAUUCGGCUUAACUACACAUUUGGUCCUUUUUUAGAUUUCAAUUUGGUC